UCAGAUGAGACUCAAUAUCCUCUACAAGGGCGUGAGGAUUCCAAGGCGUGUGUUCGAACUACAGCUCAAGUCUAACGAGGACUUACCUGACAACAACCACCAAAAUACGAACGAGAACAGAUGGGUCGAUACAUCUUGGGGGAAAGUCCAUGUGAUGAAAAUUAGGGGAACCAGCACUUAGAAUGUUAUGUUCAGCAGUCUCAAGUUCAAAUCUCAGCUGUUUGUAACAGUAUCUUGACCUUCACCAAUAAAAAUGGAUGUAGGACA
Molecule: long non-coding RNA, 267 nt
Filed under: Rattus norvegicus (Norway rat)
Lineage: Eukaryota; Metazoa; Chordata; Mammalia; Rodentia; Muridae
Description: long non-coding RNA NONRATT005824
Source: RNAcentral